This 69-nucleotide transfer RNA is filed under the name Scincella reevesii. Its description in RNAcentral is "tRNA-Met". It matches the Rfam family "tRNA". Rfam says of the family: Transfer RNA (tRNA) molecules are approximately 80 nucleotides in length. Lineage: Eukaryota; Metazoa; Chordata; Lepidosauria; Squamata; Scincidae. The record is from RNAcentral.
AGUAAAGUCAGCUAAAAAAGCUUUUGGGCCCAUACCCCAAAAAUGUUGGUUUAACCCCUUCCUCUACUA